GUGGGUAGUUUGACUGGGGCGGUCUCCUCCUAAAGAGUAACGGAGGAGCACGAAGGUUGGCUAAUCCUGGUCGGACAUCAGGAGGUUAGUGCAAUGGCAUAAGCCAGCUUGACUGCGAGCGUGACGGCGCGAGCAGGUGCGAAAGCAGGUCAUAGUGAUCCGGUGGUUCUGAAUGGAAGGGCCAUCGCUCAACGGAUAAAAGGUACUCCGGGGAUAACAGGCUGAUACCGCCCAAGAGUUCAUAUCGACGGCGGUGUUUGGCACCUCGAUGUCGGCUCAUCACAUCCUGGGGCUGAAGUAGGUCCCAAGGGUAUGGCUGUUCGCCAUUUAAAGUGGUACGCGAGCUGGGUUUAGAACGUCGUGAGACAGUUCGGUCCCUAUCUGCCGUGGGCGCUGGAGAACUGAGGGGGGCUGCUCCUAGUACGAGAGGACCGGAGUGGACGCAUCACUGGUGUUCGGGUUGUCAUGCCAAUGGCACUGCCCGGUAGCUAAAUGCGGAAGAGAUAAGUGCUGAAAGCAUCUAAGCACGAAACUUGCCCCGAGAUGAGUUCUCCCUGAGACUUAAAGUCUCCUGAAGGAACGUUGAAGACGACGACGUUGAUAGGCCGGGUGUGUAAGCGCAGCGAUGCGU
This 631-nucleotide ribosomal RNA is filed under the name Salmonella enterica subsp. enterica serovar Muenchen. Its description in RNAcentral is "partial 23S ribosomal RNA". It matches the Rfam family "Bacterial large subunit ribosomal RNA", at positions 2261 to 2886 of the family's 2925-position model. RNAcentral also lists the same sequence under 2 other names. Lineage: Bacteria; Pseudomonadati; Pseudomonadota; Gammaproteobacteria; Enterobacterales; Enterobacteriaceae. The record is from RNAcentral.